RNAcentral lists this ribosomal RNA (699 nucleotides) under Triticum aestivum (bread wheat). RNAcentral's name for it is "partial small subunit ribosomal RNA". Lineage: Eukaryota; Viridiplantae; Streptophyta; Magnoliopsida; Poales; Poaceae. The record is from RNAcentral.
CAGGCACCCCUUUAUGUUACACUUCUUCUCUCACGCUGUACUGUUUCCACUCUACCCGCAAUAGACCAAAGUUACCUCUCCCGAGGUCACUUUUUACAGGGCGAUACCGCCCUUUACUCGCCCCUCCACUCCCAAGCCGUCCCUUCCUCUUCCCACGCAGCACCCACAAAAAAAAUUAAACAAGCCAGGCGCGUACAAUCUCUAUUGUACCGUCUAUCAGACCUAUUGGUAUAAAGAAGGAGUGUAUACCUAUACGUACCUAAACUUCUAUGGGAUAAGAGGUCUGCCAACUUAAAACCCCUAGGACAAUCUACAGGCAAACUACAUGCAAGUGUGAGCUUUCAUCCUCCCUCUUUACUCGAAGGUGAAAUCUUAAAUUAAUAAAAAAACUAAAUAAAUAUACGUAACAUCGGGCAUCGUUACGUGCCCGCAAGAUGACCUGACUGUAUUUCAGUCACUCAAGUUUUAAAGGUACAAAUCAAAACUGACUACAAUACCAAGAAGUAACUCAAAACAAGGUCCAUAAAUGGAUCUAGGAACUCUACGAUAAGCAUAACCGGACUUACGUCAACUCAAGACUUAGUAUUUGUUCGACCCUCUAAACAGAAGGUGUAUAAAAAUCACGUACGAGCCUCUUGUUCUAUUCUCCUCUCCGAACUUAGAACUCUACUGUUCCCAUCAGUGGACGACGCUGAUUUC